AAAUCUAUGGGGCCAAAUUAAAGCGCAAAAUUAAGAACCAAAGGGGGAUAUUGAAAACGGGUAGCAAAACUGAAGGACACAUAGUGCAAAUGACCCACUUUAGCCUUGAAAACAAUGCUGCCGUUUCAUGUUUUUUAUUAAGGCCAAAUUUUUUUUUAUUUUUGCAAUCCCUUUUUAAAAAAAAACAGAGAGUUCUUUUUACUCUCUCCCUUUCCCUUUUCCUUUGGUCACCGAAGGUGCGAUUCACCUCCGCACCGGCCGCCAUAAGCGGUGGUCGGAGGUGCGAUAAUGGGCUCUUUAGCCCCUGUUUAAACACGCCUAAAGGCCCCCCCUUUUAGCCCCGAAAAUGUUGAGAAAAGAAGACUCCUCUCCCCCCUUUUUGGACUCGAGUCCGGCGAAAGAGAAGGAGGCUCCGUUGGCGCGACCACGGAGUAGAUUGGUGACGUGACGUUUGGAAGGCCGGUGGUUGGUGCCCCGAGUGGCGGUGGCUGAAAGCCUGCGGCGACUGCAUCUUGGGGAAGGAUUUGCUGCUGAAAAUCUUAAGCAAGUGGGCUAUUAUUUGGGCUAGGGUUUAGUAAUUGGGUUAUUUGAUGUGUAAUGGGUCUGGUAUUAAUUUUGGGCUACACAUGUUGUAAAUGGACUUGAAAUUUGGACUUUUUAUUUAAUUAUUUGGGUUUUGUUUGUUUUAUCAUUUUAGGGCCACAAUUGACUAUUAAAUCAUUGUAGAAAUACGAGGGAUUUAAGAAUUUUUUGAUCAAGUGACAA
This is a long non-coding RNA of Gossypium arboreum, 765 nucleotides long. RefSeq lists it as uncharacterized. The transcript has 2 exons. NCBI's taxonomy places the organism in Eukaryota, Viridiplantae, Streptophyta, Magnoliopsida, Malvales, Malvaceae. The record is from RefSeq and is a predicted model, not a curated record.